CUAGAGGAGCCUGUUCUAUAAUCGAUAAACCCCGAUAAACCCCACCAUCCCUUGCUAAUUCAGCCUAUAUACCGCCAUCUUCAGCGAACCCUAAACAAGGUACCAAAGUAAGCACAAUCAUCCAACAUAAAAACGUUAGGUCAAGGUGUAGCCCAUGGGAUGGAGAGAAAUGGGCUACAUUUUCUACUCUAAGAACAAGAACUUAACCCAAACGGAAGUCUCCAUGAAAUUAGAGACCGAAGGAGGAUUUAGUAGUAAAUUAAGAAUAGAGAGCUUAAUUGAAUCAGGCCAUGAAGCGCGCACACACCGCCCGUCACCCUCCUUAAAUAUUACAAGUCACAAUAUUACACAAAACCGUGACCCAAACAUAUGAAAGGAGACAAGUCGUAACAAGGUAAGCGAUACUGGA
This 409-nucleotide ribosomal RNA is filed under the name Equus asinus (donkey). Its description in RNAcentral is "partial 12S ribosomal RNA". It matches the Rfam family "Bacterial small subunit ribosomal RNA", at positions 929 to 1509 of the family's 1533-position model. Lineage: Eukaryota; Metazoa; Chordata; Mammalia; Perissodactyla; Equidae. The record is from RNAcentral.